CCUUAGAUGUUCUGGGCCGCACGCGCGCUACACUGACAGAGCCAACGAGUAUAAACCUUAACCGAGAGGUUUGGGUAAUCUUGUUAAACUCUGUCGUGCUGGGGAUAGAGCAUUGCAAUUAUUGCUCUUCAACGAGGAAUAUCUAGUAAGCGCGAGUCAUCAGCUCGCGUUGAUUACGUCCCUGCCCUUUGUACACACCGCCCGUCGCUACUACCGAUUGAAUGGCUCAGUGAGGCCUUCGGAUUGGCUCAGGGAGGUCGGCAACGACCACCCAGAGCCGAAAAGUUGGUCAAACUUGGUCAUUUAGAGGAAGUAAAAGUCGUAACAAGGUUUCCGUAGGUGAACCUGCGGAAGGAUCAUUAUGAUAAAAACAAUUCUGUUGCCUUGUGCAAUAGUUAAACCCUUUGUGAACCAAAACCUUUAUUAGCUUCGGCAGCGUGCAAGCGGGUUCAGGCCUGUUUGUCUGUUAGCCUGCCGGCAGCACCAAACCAAACUUUUGUUUUAAAAUUUAGUCUGAACAAUCAUUUACGAAUGAAAAUUAAAACUUUCAACAACGGAUCUCUUGGUUCUCGCAUCGAUGAAGAACGCAGCGAAACGCGAUAGUUAAUGUGAAUUGCAGAAUUCAGUGAAUCAUCGAGUCUUUGAACGCACAUUGCGCCCUUUGGUAUUCCGAAGGGCAUGUCUGUUUGAGCGUCAUUACAACACCUCGUUAACAAUUAGUUUUGUGAACGGUUUUGAGCCCUGGUUUGUCAAGAACCUAGCUUUAAAGUUGAACGCUCUGCGGGUCACACUGCCAAACUAUACAUAGUAAAACUUAUUCUGUACGGUGAGAAAGUGAAGACUCUGCCUGAAAAAAACCCAUUUCUAAGGUUUGACCUCAGAUCAGACAAGGAUACCCGCUGAACUUAAGCAUAUCAAUAAGCGGAGGAAAAGAAACCAACAGGGAUUGCCUCAGUAACGGCGAGUGAAGCGGCAACAGCUCAAAUUUGAAAUCUCAGGUAUUCUACUUGCGAGUUGUAAUUUGAAGAGGAUGUUUCGGUUGUGACCUUGGCCUAAGUUCCUUGGAACAGGACGUCGUAGAGGGUGAGAAUCCCGUACACGGCUGUAGGUUUACUUCCAUGUGUAACUCCUUCGAAGAGUCGAGUUGUUUGGGAAUGCAGCUCAAAAUGGGUGGUAAAUUUCAUCUAAAGCUAAAUACUGGCGAGAGACCGAUAGCGCACAAGUAGAGUGAUCGAAAGAUGAAAAGCACUUUGAAAAGAGAGUUAAACAGUACGUGAAAUUGUUGAAAGGGAAGCGUUUGCAAUCAGACUUGCUUGCGGUUGAUCAACGUUCCUUCUGGUUCGUGCACUCUGCCGUUCGCAGGCCAGCAUCGGUUAGGACAGUGGGACAAAGACUCAAGGAAUGUGGCUCCCUCGGGAGUGUUAUAGCCUUGUGUGUAAUGCCACUUGACCUGACCGAGGUCCGCGCUUUUGCUAGGAUGCUGGCGUAAUGGUUGUAAACGGC
Molecule: ribosomal RNA, 1503 nt
Filed under: Orbilia microserpens
Lineage: Eukaryota; Fungi; Ascomycota; Orbiliomycetes; Orbiliales; Orbiliaceae
Description: eukaryotic LSU rRNA
Rfam family: Eukaryotic large subunit ribosomal RNA (bases 873-1503)
Source: RNAcentral